CCUGAUGCAGCAACGCCGCGUGAGGGACGACGGCCUUCGGGUUGUAAACCUCUUUUAGCAGGGAAGAAGCGAAAGUGACGGUACCUGCAGAAAAAGCACCGGCUAACUACGUGCCAGCAGCCGCGGUAAUACGUAGGGUGCAAGCGUUGUCCGGAAUUAUUGGGCGUAAAGAGCUCGUAGGCGGUUUGUCGCGUCUGCUGUGAAAUCCCGAGGCUCAACCUCGGGUCUGCAGUGGGUACGGGCAGACUAGAGUGCGGUAGGGGAGAUUGGAAUUCCUGGUGUAGCGGUGGAAUGCGCAGAUAUCAGGAGGAACACCGAUGGCGAAGGCAGAUCUCUGGGCCGCUACUGACGCUGAGGAGCGAAAGGGUGGGGAGCAAACAGGCUUAGAUACCCUGGUAGUCCACCCCGUAAACGUUGGGCGCUAGAUGUGGGGACCAUUCCACGGUUUCCGUGUCGUAGCUAACGCAUUAAGCGCCCCGCCUGGGGAGUACGGCCGCAAGGCUAAAACUCAAAGGAAUUGACGGGGGCCCGCACAAGCGGCGGAGCAUGCGGAUUAAUUCGAUGCAACGCGAAGAACCUUACCAAGGCUUGACAUAUACGAGAACGGGCCAGAAAUGGUCAACUCUUUGGACA
RNAcentral lists this ribosomal RNA (633 nucleotides) under Plantibacter sp. Ri1Ps_4646. RNAcentral describes it as "bacterial SSU rRNA". It matches the Rfam family "Bacterial small subunit ribosomal RNA", at positions 382 to 1024 of the family's 1533-position model. Lineage: Bacteria; Bacillati; Actinomycetota; Actinomycetes; Micrococcales; Microbacteriaceae. The record is from RNAcentral.